Molecule: ribosomal RNA, 207 nt
Filed under: uncultured bacterium
Lineage: Bacteria
Description: partial 16S ribosomal RNA
Rfam family: Bacterial small subunit ribosomal RNA
Source: RNAcentral
UACGUAGGGGGCAAGCGUUUGUCCGGAUUCAUUGGGCGUAAAGGGCGCGUAGGCGGCCUGUUAAGUCGAACGUGAAAUCCCCGGGCUCAACCCGGGAACUGCGUCCGAUACUGGCAGGCUUGAAUCCGGGAGAGGGAUGCGGAAUUCCAGGUGUAGCGGUGAAAUGCGUAGAUAUCUGGAGGAACACCGGUGGCGAAGGCGGCAUCC